Acromyrmex echinatior (Panamanian leafcutter ant) is the source of this 309-nucleotide long non-coding RNA. Lineage: Eukaryota; Metazoa; Arthropoda; Insecta; Hymenoptera; Formicidae. The record is from RefSeq and is a predicted model, not a curated record.
UUGUUCUAAGUGCGGAGUUCUCGGCUCAUUGUCAGUGCAAUUAAAAAAAUUAGUAGUUUACGUUUGAAGAUCUUUCACCCUUGGAUAAGAGGCAUUACUGGAACAUCACUGAGACAUCACCGAGGAUUCCCGCUAUAGUUCGCCACUACCUCCAGCGAAUAUCAACGAGAAGAAGAGUCACCUGUAUCGACCAGAGCAGAGGAUCAAUAGGACGUCUAUCGAUAUUUGAUGAAAUUCCGGUGCGUUAUUACAAUGGAAAGAAACUAAAGAACUUGAGAAGUGCAGAAGGAAAAGUAGGAGAAUAUCUAG